Molecule: ribosomal RNA, 107 nt
Filed under: Danio rerio (zebrafish)
Lineage: Eukaryota; Metazoa; Chordata; Actinopteri; Cypriniformes; Danionidae
Source: RNAcentral
UCAAGCAUAUUGCAGCCCAAAACCGGUCACUCACUGAAGCUAAGCAGGGCCGAGCCUGGUCAGUACCUGGAUGGGAGACCACAUGGGAAAGCUAGGCUGCUGUUGGA